GCAGUCGAACGAUGACUUUUGUGCUUGCCAAAAUGAUUAGUGGCGAACGGGUGAGUAACACGUGAGUAACCUGCCCUUAACUUCGGGAUAAGCCUGGGAAACCGGGUCUAAUACCGGAUACGACCUCCUGACGCAUGUCAUGGGGGUGGAAAGCUUGAUGCGGUUUUGGAUGGACUCGCGGCCUAUCAGCUAGUUGGUUGGGGUAAUGGCCCACCAAGGCGACGACGGGUAGCCGGCCUGAGAGGGUGACCGGCCACACUGGGACUGAGACACGGCCCAGACUCCUACGGGAGGCAGCAGUGGGGAAUAUUGCACAAUGGGCGAAAGCCUGAUGCAGCGACGCCGCGUGAGGGACGAAGGCCUUCGGGUUGUAAACCUCUUUCAGCAGGGAAGAAGCGAAAGUGACGGUACCUGCAGAAGAAGCGCCGGCUAACUACGUGCCAGCAGCCGCGGUAAUACGUAGGGCGCAAGCGUUAUCCGGAAUUAUUGGGCGUAAAGAGCUCGUAGGCGGUUUGUCGCGUCUGCUGUGAAAGCCCGGGGCUCAACCCCGGGUCUGCAGUGGGUACGGGCAGACUAGAGUGCAGUAGGGGAGACUGGAAUUCCUGGUGUAGCGGUGAAAUGCGCAGAUAUCAGGAGGAACACCGAUGGCGAAGGCAGGUCUCUGGGCUGUAACUGACGCUGAGGAGCGAAAGCAUGGGGAGCGAACAGGAUUAGAUACCCUGGUAGUCCAUGCCGUAAACGUUGGGCACUAGGUGUGGGGGACAUUCCACGUUUUCCGCGCCGUA
RNAcentral lists this ribosomal RNA (785 nucleotides) under Arthrobacter sp. Its description in RNAcentral is "bacterial SSU rRNA". It matches the Rfam family "Bacterial small subunit ribosomal RNA", at positions 57 to 850 of the family's 1533-position model. Lineage: Bacteria; Bacillati; Actinomycetota; Actinomycetes; Micrococcales; Micrococcaceae. The record is from RNAcentral.